UUGACAGCCCUGGGAGACUGAAAGCCCUGUUUAUCCCCAGUACAGACACAGCACAACUAACAAAAAUGCAACUUUCCGUGAGAUAUCUUAGCAAUGUAUUUCUGCAUGGCCAGGGAAACACAGGAUGCUAGGGGUUUAGUUGUUCAGGUUAUGCAAUCCUUUGUCUUU
This 168-nucleotide small RNA is filed under the name Junco hyemalis (dark-eyed junco). Its description in RNAcentral is "TUC338 (ENSJHYG00000016279.1)". Lineage: Eukaryota; Metazoa; Chordata; Aves; Passeriformes; Passerellidae. The record is from RNAcentral.